GUAAAUUUGGUUGAAAUAUAUUCAUUUUUUGAUUUUUAACAGCUGUUGUAACCUUUUUUUCUGGAUAUCCCUCGUACAUAAAGUCUAUGCAGUGCCUUAAGACUAAUGCUGUGCUGAGUUGUUUUAACUGGGACAACUUUUAAUGCCUUACUGACAAGGGAAUUGGCUAUUGAAUGGUAAAUAACCUCAUCUCUGAUGUGUGAGAGUCUGCACUGAUGAAAAGCUGCACACCGAGUGUCUUCUCAAUGGAAUACAUCUUUAUUAUGACACCUGGUCCUGGUGCAUAAUGGGCUAGGUUGGUUUAACAACAGGCAAGCAUGUUAAGUAUGGGCACACAUGAUUAGUUCUGUGCCAUAUAAAUCCCAUAUCUUCACUUUGGCAAGAAAUAAUGCCACUGAAACAAAUGCAUAUUUUCCCAUGCUGUACAUUCAUAUCUUGAGUCCUGGAAAGCUUGAAUAAGAUGAAUGCAUUUUUCACAAGAAGUUCAGUGCCAUAAUGAAGAAAUGAGGAGAAAACUCAAAUUUCGGAGAUUAAAGAUGCCCUUUAUACUUGUGUACUGAACAAAAAAUCUUUCAGAAAAUUGAGUUUUAGUAUUGGAAGUAAUUACAUGCUGAAGAAGUCACAAUUUACAUGUUUCUUGGUAAUUCACUGUUCACUGACUCAAUGCACCAUAUGUGUAGGCACUUCAGUUUAAAAGUGUUUGAUGGGUACAAGAGAUUGUGUUGUGCAUAAUAAACUGAUGGACAAGACCAAAGAUGUAAAUGGUUUUGAAUGCAGCACUGUUGUGGGGGUAUCAACCGCCUAAUUAUAGUUUUUACAUACA
Long non-coding RNA from Polypterus senegalus (gray bichir), 823 nucleotides. RefSeq lists it as uncharacterized. The record is from RefSeq and is a predicted model, not a curated record. The transcript is spliced from 4 exons. Lineage: Eukaryota; Metazoa; Chordata; Cladistia; Polypteriformes; Polypteridae.